AGAUGAUUAAUACAAAGAAAUAUCUCUGAUUUCGGCUCAGAAAAUUGUGGUUCAAGUCCACAAUCAUCUU
This 70-nucleotide transfer RNA is filed under the name Boulengeromyrus knoepffleri. RNAcentral's name for it is "tRNA-Arg". It matches the Rfam family "tRNA". From Rfam's summary of the family: Transfer RNA (tRNA) molecules are approximately 80 nucleotides in length. The record is from RNAcentral. Lineage: Eukaryota; Metazoa; Chordata; Actinopteri; Osteoglossiformes; Mormyridae.